Molecule: ribosomal RNA, 497 nt
Filed under: uncultured bacterium
Lineage: Bacteria
Description: partial 16S ribosomal RNA
Rfam family: Bacterial small subunit ribosomal RNA
Source: RNAcentral
GAUGAACGCUGGCGGCGUGCCUAAUACAUGCAAGUCGAGCGAACAGACGAGGAGCUUGCUCCUCUGACGUUAGCGGCGGACGGGUGAGUAACACGUGGAUAACCUACCUAUAAGACUGGGAUAACUUCGGGAAACCGGAGCUAAUACCGGAUAAUAUAUUGAACCGCAUGGUUCAAUAGUGAAAGACGGUUUUGCUGUCACUUAUAGAUGGAUCCGCGCCGCAUUAGCUAGUUGGUAAGGUAACGGCUUACCAAGGCAACGAUGCGUAGCCGACCUGAGAGGGUGAUCGGCCACACUGGAACUGAGACACGGUCCAGACGCCUACGGGAGGCAGCAGUAGGGAAUCUUCCGCAAUGGGCGAAAGCUUGACGGAGCAACGCCGCGUGAGUUAUGAAGGUCUUCGGAUCGUAAAACUCUGUUAUUAGGGAAGAACAAAUGUGUAAGUAACUAUGCACGUCUUGACGGUACCUAAUCAGAAAGCCACGGCUAACUACGUG